Molecule: ribosomal RNA, 506 nt
Filed under: uncultured bacterium
Lineage: Bacteria
Description: partial 16S ribosomal RNA
Rfam family: Bacterial small subunit ribosomal RNA
Source: RNAcentral
AGUGAGCGCUGGCGGUAGGCCUAACACAUGCAAGUCGAACGGCAGCACAGGAGAGCUUGCUCUCUGGGUGGCGAGUGGCGGACGGGUGAGGAAUACAUCGGAAUCUACUCUGUCGUGGGGGAUAACGUAGGGAAACUUACGCUAAUACCGCAUACGACCUACGGGUGAAAGCAGGGGACCUUCGGGCCUUGCGCGAUUGAAUGAGCCGAUGUCGGAUUAGCUAGUUGGCGGGGUAAAGGCCCACCAAGGCGACGAUCCGUAGCUGGUCUGAGAGGAUGAUCAGCCACACUGGAACUGAGACACGGUCCAGACUCCUACGGGAGGCAGCAGUGGGGAAUAUCGGACAAUGGGCGCAAGCCUGAUUCAGCCAUACCGCGUGGGUGAAGAAGGCCUUCGGGUUGUAAAGCCCUUUUGUUGGGAAAGAAAUCCAGCUGGCUAAUACCCGGUUGGGAUGACGGUACCCAAAGAAUAAGCACCGGCUAACUUCGUGCCAGCCGCCGCAGUAA